This 110-nucleotide ribosomal RNA is filed under the name uncultured bacterium. Its description in RNAcentral is "partial 16S ribosomal RNA". It matches the Rfam family "Bacterial small subunit ribosomal RNA", at positions 1395 to 1500 of the family's 1533-position model. The record is from RNAcentral.
CGUCACACCAUGAGAGUUGGCAAUACCCAACGUACCGUGAUCUAACCCGCAAGGGAGGAAGCGUCCUAAGGUAGGGGUCAGCGAUUGGGGUGAAGUCGUAACAAGGUACC